UUUAAAAAAUAAUAAAAUAAAAUAAAAUGGGGAUAAUACAGAGAAGAUUAGCAUGGGCCCUGCUCAAAAAAAUGACAUGCAAAUUUGUGAAGUGUUCCAUUUU
Molecule: small nuclear RNA, 103 nt
Organism: Pteronotus mesoamericanus
Lineage: Eukaryota; Metazoa; Chordata; Mammalia; Chiroptera; Mormoopidae
Source: RefSeq, a predicted model, not a curated record